CCAAAGGCUCUUUUCAGAGCCACUCAAUAAGUCGGAGAAAGUGGCU
Non-coding RNA from Ictidomys tridecemlineatus (thirteen-lined ground squirrel), 46 nucleotides. The record is from Rfam. NCBI's taxonomy places the organism in Eukaryota, Metazoa, Chordata, Mammalia, Rodentia, Sciuridae.